This is a long non-coding RNA of Bubalus bubalis (water buffalo), 2295 nucleotides long. RefSeq lists it as uncharacterized. NCBI's taxonomy places the organism in Eukaryota, Metazoa, Chordata, Mammalia, Artiodactyla, Bovidae. The record is from RefSeq and is a predicted model, not a curated record. The transcript has 3 exons.
AGUAGGGUAUGGUGCUCUGAUUGGCCAGGCUGAAGUAGGGUAUGGUGCUCUGAUGGGCCAUGCUGAAGCAGGGUAUGGUGCUGUGACUGACCCGACUGAGCUGCACACCCAACGAGAGACCCAGGAAACUGAGGCCAGCCCCACCUUAAUCAUGUGGGCUGAGAUUUCCUCACAGGAAAAUCAAGAUCCUGUUACCAAAAAGAAAGGGGAAUAUUCUCUGGGCAGCAAAAAAUCUAAAGAGCUUAAUACACACUUGGCAGAAAGGUGAAAGGAGGCUGGGCAUACUUCACAACCACUAUUCCUGCAUCUGGGGCCCACCGUUCUGUCGGAUGAUCCCUCCAAGGUACUCCCUGUCUUCCCAAAAGAGAGUCCCCAAACAAAAGCUGGGUUUCGGAAGAGAACUUGCAGCCCCCAGAGAAGGGACAGGUGUAUCCCCUCACCCCAUCUUUGCAGCUCACCACCUGCUCUGGCCAAGACUCCCAGCUGUGAAAGCUCCCGGCAGUGCAGGGAGGCUGCAGGCAUCCAGCGGCGGCCUGGAGGCCCAGCGCCCACACCUGCAGCCUCUGAGGGCCCCACCAAAUCCUGCCGGGACCCUCCCAGCAGCAGGCGCGCGGAUGCUCACAGGGAAUUCCAGCAGGGCGACUCCUCGGGGAGCUGAGCGCAGCGCAUCAGCACUUUUAGCUCUAUCAUUCCCUUACAGACUUUUAACCUCCUGGACGGAAGAAUUCAGUCCGGCUUGUUGCCUCUCUCCGCACACUUGAGAAUCCAGCCGGAGUCGCUACGUCACACUUCCUGCAGCAGCCCAAGGGUCAGGAGUUCACCCGCUGAACCGUUUGCCUGGGGAGCCGUGGUCCUAAUAAGCAUGACAUCCUCCCCCAAAGCUUCAGCAGCUGUGUUUCCCCCUGGCUCGGAAGGGAAGGAACCAAAUAAAGCAGCAGGAGGAAUUACGUGGUGCAGAACUGCUCAGCGUGGGAUUCCAGGUCCAAAGGCGCCUUCUUUGCAAGAUCGCCCAAACAUCUGCCUUUGUCCAUCAGCAGUCCAAAAGGAGAUGGCGGAUUCUUUACCGUCUGAACCACCAGGGAAGCCAAACAAAUAAUAGCCUUGUUGAAUCCUCUGCAAGGUAAGGCUGCCUGCGCCCAGCUGCUCCCACCUGUGGCAUCCUGCUGGCUGCUGAGAUGGGAGCUCCCAGGCCAUCAGGCACAGGUGGGCCCACCUCCUCCAGGCACACACCUGCCAUGGCAGCCUCCUUUCCUGCCCCAAACUGGACCCCACCCCAAGCCAUGCUAGACCCAGCCCCGUCACAAUCCAGGGGGACACUGGCAGUUUCCUACCCAAAAAGAAUUCCCCUAAAUCACCUUCCAAGCUGCCUACCCCAUUUUUGUUAGUGUUAUUAAAAUGGACAUUGAGACUUCCCUAGUAAUCCAGGGGUUAAAACUGCGUGCUUCCAAUGCGUGGGAUGCAGGUUUGAUCUCUGGUUGGGGAACUAAAAUCCCACGUGUCAUUUGGCCCAGCCGGGGGAAAAAAGAAAAAAAUGGACAUUGUUUAGACAUCUUGCUGUGUGAAGCCAGACUCUCUCUUCCAGACGUAGAGGAUAAAUUAUGCUUGGUCUAUGCCAGCCUUGGUCAUCCUGUUCCUCCUUGCCAGUGAGAGUCCAGGAAUGAGCAUGUGACUCAGCUCUGGUCAAUGAGAUGUAAGAAGUCUGCCAAGAUUUUCUGAGGUUGCUGACUAAAAAAAGAACACUGUGGAGAAAUGCCCUCUUUGCCAUCUUUCCUGCUCUGUGUGAAGACGUGAGACCUGGAGCAUCAGCAGCCACCUUGUGACCUAGAAGACAAACCUAAGGCCAAAAUGCCAACGCUAAAGAUGGCAGAGUAGACCAAAAGAACACGUGUUGCUCUCACGCAGCCAUCAUGAGAUUGCCGAGCCAAACCUGGAACUGCCCUCUGCAGAUUCUUUAUUGGUGAAAUAAUUAAACGUUUCUAUGACUUAAGCCAUUGUUAGUGGGGUUUCCUGCACUUGCAGCCGAAAGCAGCCUAGACGGUACAACAGUCAGCGAGUCCCUCUCCAGUCACCCUGGCCAGGCUUGAGGUGCCCUUACCCAGCAGCCAGACCACACACACAUGCCCUUCUUGAGUAUCCCAGGCACCUGCCCAUCCCCACCUGGAAAAGAAACUCCAGCCUGCUUUGCCUGUAGACUGUGGGAUGGCCACGAACCAACCUAGGUCCAUGGACUCCAACUCAUUCUGUGCCCUCUGUUCACCAGUCAGCUGUCUCUUAGACAAGCCACAACCUCUCUGG